CUAUAUCUGUGAAAGAAAACAUAUUGCAUCGUCAAGCAUUUGAACAUAUUUUUGUCUAGAUACGGAUUUUCAGGCUUGGGAAUACUUUGGUAUAAUAAUGAUAAUGUAGUUAAAAUUCUAUUAUCAAUAAUAAUAAUAAUCAUAAUCAUUGUCGUUUCCCGCCAUACCCGGUAGAGUAUGUCCCCAGAAGUCUACAGAAGACUUGUGCGGGGCAAGGGAAGGGAUGGAUUAGUGACCAUCAUCAUGCGACUGCAACCGUCUGAAGAUGUUCAAUAGAGACACCCGCAUUUGCACAUGGGACAAGGAAAACUGUAGAAAACCUUUCCUAGGUGUAGCUGAACCGAGUUUGAACCAACUACUUGAAGGGCUGCAGACUGUGGAGUGGUAACUAUUAUAACUCCAGACAAUGGAAGAUUCUGGAUUAAUGAUAAAUGAGUAUCGCCUGUCCCAGGAGGAGUAUCUACUAUAAGGUAGUCCAGUGGCAUCCAGGCUGUCUGACGGAUUAAUUUGUCAAGAGCACUCAUCACCAUCAGACCUCGCCAUAUAACGGGAGAUUU
Long non-coding RNA from Neodiprion fabricii, 557 nucleotides. RefSeq lists it as uncharacterized. The transcript is spliced from 2 exons. Lineage: Eukaryota; Metazoa; Arthropoda; Insecta; Hymenoptera; Diprionidae. The record is from RefSeq and is a predicted model, not a curated record.